This 1647-nucleotide long non-coding RNA is filed under the name Habropoda laboriosa. RNAcentral's name for it is "uncharacterized LOC108574190". The record is from RNAcentral. Lineage: Eukaryota; Metazoa; Arthropoda; Insecta; Hymenoptera; Apidae.
AUCCUCAAGCGGAGAAGGCUGUAUCUUGCUCGCUGAUUCGAAGUUAUUACUUUAUAGUUAUCGUGGGAUAUCCUUCCAUUGUUCAAGAAACACGAGCCAGAUACAGUCUCACCGUUUGAGAUGGCAAUGGGACGGGCGGAGGGAGUUGCUGUUUGCAGCGAUGCUGGGCGUACCGCAGAAUCAGGGACCCCAUGUUCUCUAGUCUCUCUACGUCUUUCAUUGGUUUGGUUUGUAAACUGUAUCGGAACCAAUGCAUUUCUCUUUGCAAUUUCGUGUAAUCAUAUAUAGAGUUCGAGUUAUUGGUAAAAUCGUUCAAACAGCGUGUUUCAUUCGAUACUUUUAUUUUUUCUUUUUUUCAGAAAAUAUAUGGCAGUUUAUGCAUAGAACAUUGCGUAUUUGUAUAAUGUAAUUUAAAGAAAAUCUUGUAUACUGCAUUUUUUAACCAAUAGAUACUUAAUAUGGUGUAGCGUCAUGAGAUAUCAAGGAUUUUUAUACGUAGAUUUUGUACAUGUUGUUUAAUGUUAAUUCAAAGUUUUGUAAAUAUUGUGAUACAGCAGAGAACGGCAGCGGAAGGAAUGAAAAAGAAUAAAUGUUGGAAAAAGACCAUUGACAAUUUUUUCUAUGUUCAUUUUAAUUCACGCCGUAUUAAUGCCAAAAAUCCUUUUCAGUCCGGCAAUACACCUAACAAAAUUCUAUCGCACGCAAGAGACCUGCGCGCACACGUGUCCAGGCUGUGCUGGUCGGCGACGCGACGCCACGCCACGCCACGCUACGCUAUUCGGCCCUCUGUCUCUCUGUAUGAAAUAAGGAGUGGUGAGAGGAAUUGGUAUUGGGAUGAACAAAGGAGGGGGGCGCACUCUUUGUUUCUAGAAAUUCGCGCUGAAGUUUCGUGGCUGAAUCACACACACACGAUCAAGUGGUCGUCACGUCCGUACAUAACAUCUCACGUUCGCGCUCUUCUGUAUCUUGAUCAUCCGAGCAUCCGCUAGUUCCAAAACCCGUCGUCUGGCGCGUGAUACACAUAGGCUUACUGUGACAAACUGCAGCAAAACUCGAGCAAGUCCUGUUUGGUGAGCUAAUCCCUUUUCUCCGUUACCUGCGCAAAUGUAUUUUCUCAGGUCCAGAAAGGUUUUUCCAAUCUUCAUACUGCCAACUUGCACAUGGGUUGCUCUGGCUUAUUCACGCGUACCAUUCGAAGUCGACUAAGCUGGACACCCAAACAAACAGCUCUGCACACAUUGCCCCAUUUCAAUUAGGAUAAAGAGCCUCGAGGUAUGGAGUUACUCACGAAUGCAUGUCUCUUGAACCUAGAUGAUCCGGAAAGCCAAGAAUUACAGCAAGUAACAACCUAAUUUCUAUAUGGGCAUGUUAUACAUGUUAUCAAAGGCUCGCAAUUUGAGUAGGAAAUUGCCAUGAAAAUUUUUUAACGAGCGUUAUAUCAAGAUACGUCUUUUAAGCAUUAUCAUGCUAUUCGAUACUUAUAUUUCCACAGAUUUCAUAUUCCUUAAUUAUUUAUUUGGUGCUAGAGCAAGAAGAUCUUCGUAAUAUGUAUAUUAUUAGAUUAAUAAAUAAAACAAUUCCCGACGAGGUGCGCAGAAGAGUUUCGAGAGUAAAGAAUAAACGAAAAAAAAAAAGAAGGGAAAAAAG